Molecule: long non-coding RNA, 593 nt
Organism: Suricata suricatta (meerkat)
Lineage: Eukaryota; Metazoa; Chordata; Mammalia; Carnivora; Herpestidae
Exons: 6
Source: RefSeq, a predicted model, not a curated record
AGCCCAAGAUGGGGCUUGAACCCACAAACCAUGAGAUCAUGACCUGAACAAAAAUCAGGGCUUGGACACCCAACAAAAAGAGCCACCCAGGUCAGCACAACCUUAGCCACUGCAGUGUGUUUUUGAAGAGCUGUCCCUGAUGUGUUAAACUGUACAGUGGUGCUUUAUGGGGCCACUGUGGAUAAGAUCGUGCAGAGUUAAUUAGCCUGGGAUAAACUGAGACAGGAGUGCGCCUGCCAUGGUAGGAGCAGCAUAUUCAGGGCCCAUGUUAUAGGAUCCAAAAGAGAAAGGCUACAGUAUGCUUCACUUUGUUCCUUCUUGGGGCAGUGACCUGGAGAAGAUAAGGAAAGGCCCUGUGAGAACAUGGUGACAAGGCAGUCAUCUACCAGCCAGGAAGAAAGCCCGCACCCGCAGCCAAACCCUGCUGGAACCUUGAUUUUGAACCUUCCAGCUUCUCCCCAAACAGAGAAUCCAGAAGGGCCCCAGGGUCCUGGAAGAUGGUGUGAUCUCCACAUGUGAGGAGCCCAGAUGCCUUCUUGGAGGAGACCUUCCUUCCCCGCUCCUCCACCUCCAAGAGACUUACAUUAUACUGU